Mobula hypostoma (lesser devil ray) is the source of this 780-nucleotide long non-coding RNA. RefSeq lists it as uncharacterized. The record is from RefSeq and is a predicted model, not a curated record. NCBI's taxonomy places the organism in Eukaryota, Metazoa, Chordata, Chondrichthyes, Myliobatiformes, Myliobatidae. The transcript is spliced from 3 exons.
UGUAGUUUCUGAUACGUUUGUAUCUACGACUUCAAAGAGCCUUUGAAGGAGGUUGUCCUAAACCAAACCUGUCUGGAACCACACAGAACAGUAACCCCAUUAACCGUUUCAGUGCCUUGUAAUCACCGCAGAUACUAACACUCCCAUUACUUGCUGAUAUGUAGUGAUAAUGAAAUAAGUUUUAAAAUAGUUUCUCAUUUUGUCUCUCUCUCUGUGACACACAGACACACACUUUCAUCCCAUUGCCCAUCCUUCCUCUUCUUCCCCGACUCCCACUCUCUGUCCUCCCUCUCACACUCCCACCGUUUCUCCUCCCCACCCUCUUCCUCCUGCCCUCCCACCACAAUGCCUGCAGUGGCCCUCAAUGUUAGGCAGGAGAUAGACAUCUACCACGGUAAAUUGUGACAAUGGUUUCGCUGGUGAGAACCUGAAGACAAAGUUCCUGCGACAGAGAAAGCCCACAUUUGACCCGAGAACAUCCAGAUGGGACCCUGGCUGAACUGAAAGAAGCUGCACGUGAAGGUCAUCUCUGCAUAGGAGCUCCCCCAGUCAAACAUGGACAAACCCAGCUUGGUGGUAGACCCGCUCAUAAAGGAGCGGGUUUUUGGAGUCGAACAAGACAAUGAUUAGAAAGUGUCGCCAACAAUGGUUAUAAAUUGACGCCACAUGUUUCCAACAAUGGCUUCAAUCUCACGUGGAACACAACCUUCCAGUUCGACGUGUCCGUGUCUGAGCUGGCCUUUGUUCGCUUCCUGGUUCAAACUCUGACGACUUCUGGAG